This 1491-nucleotide ribosomal RNA is filed under the name uncultured Bordetella sp. RNAcentral's name for it is "partial 16S-23S ribosomal RNA intergenic spacer". It matches the Rfam family "Bacterial small subunit ribosomal RNA". The record is from RNAcentral. Lineage: Bacteria; Pseudomonadati; Pseudomonadota; Betaproteobacteria; Burkholderiales; Alcaligenaceae.
GUUUGAUGUAAGCUCCAGAUUGAACCUAGCGGGAUGCUUUACACAUACAAGUCGAACGGCAGCACGGACUUCAGUCUGGUGGCGAGUGGUGAACAGGUGAGUAAUGUAUCAGGUGAAGUACCUAGUAGCGGGGAUAACUACGGCUUGUAGCUAAUGCCAUACCUCCCUUCGGGGAAAAGCGGGGACGGCUUCGGGCCUCAGCACUAUUGAAGCAGCCGAUAUCCGGAUUGGCUAGUUGGUGGGGUAACGGCUCGCCAAGGCGACGAUCCGUAGCUGGUUUGAGGACGACCAGCCACACUGGGACGGAGCCGCAGCCCAGACUCCUGAGGAGGCAGCAGUGGGGAAUUUUGGACAAUGGGGGAAACCCUGAUCCAGCCAUCCCCGCGUGUGCAGUGAAGGCCUUCGGGUUGCUUGUAAAGCACUUUUGGCAGGAAAAGGAAACGGCACGGAUAAUACCCGUGCAACUGACGAUAUAGAAUAAGCACCGGCUAACUACGAUGCCAGCAACCCGCAGGCAUACGUAGAGUGCAAGCGUUAAUCGGAAUUACUGGGCGUAAAGCGUGCGCAGACGGUUCGGAAGAAGAUGUGAAAUCCCAGAGCUUAACUUUGGAACUGCAUUUUUAACUACCGAGCUAGAGUGUGUCAGAGGAGGUGGAAUUCCACGUGUAGCAGUGAAAUGCAUAGAUAUGCGGAGGGGCCACCGAUGGCGAAGGCAGCCUCCUGGGAUAGCACUGACGCUCCAUGCACGAAAGCGUGGGAGCAAACAGGAUUAGAUCCCUGGUAGUCCGCCUAAACGAUGUCCAACUAGCUGUUGGGGCCUUCGGGCCUUGGUAGCGCAACUAACGCGUGAAGUUGACCACCUGGGGAGGCCCGGUCGCAAGAUUAAAACUCAAAGGAAUUGACGGGGACCACAAGCGGUGGAUGAUGUGGAUUAAUUCGAUGCAACGCGAAAACCUUACCUACCCUUGACAUGUCUGGAAUCCCGAAGAGAUUUGGGAGUGCUCGCAAAGGCAGAUUACAAGGUGCUGCAUGGCUGUCGUCAGCUCGUGUCGUGAGAUGUUGGGUUAAGUCCACCAACGAAGCGCAACCCUUGUCGUGCUGGAUUGCUACGAAAGGGCGCUCUAAUGAGACUGCCGGUGACAAACCGGAGGAAGGUGGGGACUGACGUCAGUCUCAUGGCCCUUAUGGGUAGGGCUUCACACGUCAUACAAUGGUCAGGACAGAGGUCGCCAACCCGCGAGGAGCAAUCCCAGAAACCCGAUCGUAGUCCCGGAUCGCAGUCUGCAACUCGGCGGUCAGGGAAUCAUAGUAAUCGCGGAUCAACGCUGUCGCGGUGAAUACGUUCACGGGUCUUGUACACACCGCCCGUCACACCAUGGGAGUGGGUUUUGCAAAAGUAGUUUAGCCUAACCGUAAGGAGGGCGAUUACCACGGUAGGAUUCAUGACUGGGGUGAAGUCGUAACAAAGUAGCUAUUUACGGAUGCUCCAGA